RNAcentral lists this small nuclear RNA (328 nucleotides) under Cyanistes caeruleus (blue tit). Its description in RNAcentral is "7SK RNA (ENSCCEG00000000508.1)". The stretch from base 1 to 271 matches the Rfam family "7SK RNA". Rfam says of the family: 7SK was discovered as an abundant small nuclear RNA in the mid-70s but a possible function has only recently been suggested. Two independent studies have found that 7SK RNA binds the CDK9/cyclin T complex (known as elongation factor P-TEFb). The record is from RNAcentral. Lineage: Eukaryota; Metazoa; Chordata; Aves; Passeriformes; Paridae.
CGAUGUGAGGGCCAUCUGCCUGUGACACCCGUCACCACACUGAUCUCCAGCCUUGAGUCAACCCAUGUGCCUGCCCAAGCCCAGGUCCCCUUCCUCACCCAGCGCUCCAUAUGCAUCCCUCCCAAUGCUGCUCGGUCACAGAGGACGACCUCCCCGAUACAGACUGUACAUUUUAUCACUCAAGGCUAUUUGGACAGCUUUGCUCUCUUCUACAACCUCAUAACCACCCCAAGCUCCAUUCCUAGGAGGGCUUUCCUGGUAGUCCUAAAUAAAAUUUUGCACAAAACAGGACUGAAAGAGUGUCCCAUGAAAUGGGAGGCAUUCAUGU